RNAcentral lists this ribosomal RNA (381 nucleotides) under Triticum aestivum (bread wheat). RNAcentral describes it as "partial small subunit ribosomal RNA". Lineage: Eukaryota; Viridiplantae; Streptophyta; Magnoliopsida; Poales; Poaceae. The record is from RNAcentral.
GGCCAGACGGAGCGGGUCAACCAGUGUCUAGAGAUGUACCUACGAUGCGCCGUCCACGACACCCCGCGGCAAUGGCGCAAGUGGCUGCCGGCAGCAGAGUUCUGGUAUAACUCCACGCAUCACACGUCUCUCAAGUGCUCGCCGUUCAGGGCGCUCUACGGCAUCGACCCUAACCUGGGUGGCUUACCGCACUUCAGCGACAACUCGACCCCGAGCGCACCUGCGGAGGAUCUGGACUGGGCGGCCCACACGGAACACCUCCGUGCUCAGCUUGCUCACGCUCAGUCGCGUUUCAAGAAGCAGGCUGAUCGUCACCGUGCCGAGCGCGCGUUCGACGUCGGCGAGCAAGUGCUGCUCAAGCUACAACCGUACGCACAGUCG